UUCCGGUGGAUCCCGCCAGAAGUCACUGCUAUUGGGAUUCGAUUAGGCCAUGCANGUYGAGAGGGUUCGGCCCUCGGCAGACUGCUCAGUAACACGUGGAUAAUCUGUCCUUAGGUGGAGCAUAAUCUCGGGAAACUGAGAAUAAUACUCCAUAGAUCUAGGAUGCUGGAAUGCACCUAGGUUGAAAGCUCCGGCGCCUAAGGGUGAGUCUGCGGACUAUCAGGCUGUAGUCAGGGUAAAGACCUGACUAACCUACGACGGAUACGGGUUGUGAGAGCAAUAACCCGGAGACGAUAUCUGAGACACGAUAUCGGGCCCUACGGGGCGCAGCAGGCGCGAAACCUUCACACUGUGCGAAAGCGCGAUGAGGGAAUCCCAAGUGCUUGCACGUAAGUAUAAGCUGUUUCUAUGUCUAAAAAGCAUAGAGAGUAAGAGCUGGGUAAGACGGGUGCCACCCGCCGCGGUAAUACCUGCAGCUCAAGUGGUGACCACUAUUAUUGGGCCUAAAACKUCCGUAGCCGGUUUAGUAAAUGCCUGGGUAAAUCGAGCCGCUUAACGGUUCGAAUUCCGGGUAGACUGCUAAACUUGGGACCGGGAGAGGCUAGAGGUACUCCUGGGGUAGAGGUGAAAUUCUGUAAUCCUGGGGGGACCACCAGUGGCGAAGGCGUCUAGCUAGAACGGGUCUGACGGUGAGGGACGAAGCCCUGGGGCGCAAACCGGAUUAGAUACCCGGGUAGUCCAGGGUGUAAACGCUGCUUGCUUGAUGUUAGUCGGGCUCUGAGCCCGAUUAGUGUCGGAGAGAAGUUGUUAAGCAAGCUGCCUGGGAAGUACGGUCGCAAGGCUGAAACUUAAAGGMAUUGGCGGGGGAGCACAGCAACGGGUGGAGCGUGCGGUUUAAUUGGAG
This 904-nucleotide ribosomal RNA is filed under the name uncultured archaeon TA1c9. Its description in RNAcentral is "bacterial SSU rRNA". It matches the Rfam family "Archaeal small subunit ribosomal RNA", at positions 1 to 911 of the family's 1478-position model. Lineage: Archaea; Methanobacteriati; Methanobacteriota. The record is from RNAcentral.